This 253-nucleotide ribosomal RNA is filed under the name uncultured bacterium. RNAcentral's name for it is "partial 16S ribosomal RNA". It matches the Rfam family "Bacterial small subunit ribosomal RNA", at positions 524 to 776 of the family's 1533-position model. The record is from RNAcentral.
AACGUAGGGGGCGAGCGUUGCCCGGAUUCACUGGGCGUAAAGCGGGUGCAGGCGGUCCGUUAAGUCGGGUGUGAAAUCUCCAGGCUCAACCUGGAAAGUGCACCCGAUACUGGCGGACUUGAGGACGGUAGAGGUCGGUGGAAUGAGCAGUGUACCGGUGAAAUGGACAGAUAUUGCUCAGAACACCAGUGGCGAAGGCGGCCGACUGGGCCGUUCCUGACGCUCAUACCCGAAAGCCAGGGGAGCGAACCGG